GAUGAACGCUGGCGGCGUGCCUAAUACAUGCAAGUCGAGCGAACAGACGAGGAGCUUGCUCCUCUGACGUUAGCGGCGGACGGGUGAGUAACACGUGGAUAACCUACCUAUAAGACUGGGAUAACUUCGGGAAACCGGAGCUAAUACCGGAUAAUAUAUUGAACCGCAUGGUUCAAUAGUGAAAGACGGUUUUGCUGUCACUUAUAGAUGGAUCCGCGCCGCAUUAGCUAGUUGGUAAGGUAACGGCUUACCAAGGCGACGAUGCGUAGCCGACCUGUGAGGGUGAUCGGCCACACUGGAAGUGAGACACGGUCCAGACUACUACGGGAGGCAGCAGUAGGGAAUCUUCCGCAAUGGGCGAAAGCCUGACGGAGCAACGCCGCGUGAGUGAUGAAGGUCUUCGGAUCGUAAAACUCUGUUAUUAGGGAAGAACAAAUGUGUAAGUAACUAUGCACGUCUUGACGGUACCUAAUCAGAAAGCCACGGCUAACUACGUG
RNAcentral lists this ribosomal RNA (497 nucleotides) under uncultured bacterium. RNAcentral describes it as "partial 16S ribosomal RNA". It matches the Rfam family "Bacterial small subunit ribosomal RNA", at positions 28 to 507 of the family's 1533-position model. The record is from RNAcentral.